This 75-nucleotide antisense RNA is filed under the name Parafrankia colletiae. Its description in RNAcentral is "Frankia sp. Cc1.17 ASpks TB sRNA". It matches the Rfam family "ASpks TB sRNA". Lineage: Bacteria; Bacillati; Actinomycetota; Actinomycetes; Frankiales; Frankiaceae. The record is from Rfam by way of RNAcentral.
CUUGACCGACCCCAGGUACACGGGACGGUCCGCGGGCCGGUCCUGGCCAUAGGUGGCCAGCAGUGCCUCGGCCUC